UGAAAUUCUAAAUGAAUUCUCAAGGUUUUAGGUCUUUAGAUCUAAGGUCAUACUAACAUUGGACCUUAUAAAAUUGUAAAAUACUUUAUCAUAACACACGAAUUGUCACAGGAAUGUUGGUCCUUGGGCUGCAUAUUAAGGAAGGAUAAUUGUGCUGUUACCUUAGUUAAAAUGCAGAUGUAUGUUCCAUGCUUUUAGUUUUAUGUAGUAAGGCUGUGGAGCAUUCAUAGAAAACUAUGAGCUUAUAAAAGGCAGUUAAAUGCAUAAUGGUAUGUGCCUGUAGUACCAGCCACUUGGGAAGCCAAGGUGGGAGGUUCGAUUGAGCCCAGGAAUUCAAGGCUGCAGUGAGCAAUGAUAACACCACUGCACUCCAGCCUGGGCAACAGAGCUGUCUCUAAAAUAAUAACAAUAUACAGUAAUAAAAUAAAAAGUGGUUAGAAUAUAAGCCAUUUUUAAGAAAUAAAAAAAGGAAAUUCUGAUAAAUGCAGAAUAUUUUAGUCCCAUAAUGUUUUGAUUUCAUGAAUUAUUAAAGAGAUGCAAUAAAUUGGCUAAAACAUUUGUAAUAGUGUUAUGUGCAGUAACAUUUAGCACAGUGCCUAAGGCAACACACAUCUCAACUGAUUUGUUUUAUACACUGAAUAAAUCAUAACUUCAUUCUUCAAAUUUUAUAAAGCAGAACAAAUUGGCAUAUAAAAGAAGAAGCACAGAAAUCCAAAUAACAUGCAGGAGGACACUACAACUUUUCUUAAAUAAUUUUUAUUAGCAUUUCAUUUUUUCACUCAAGAAUAUUGUAUUUUACAGCUAUAAUAUCACACUGGUAGAGAGAGGCUGCAGUGAGUCAUUGAAACUCUUUGGAAGUUCAGAGCGUUACAUAGUGGUGACAAUUGAUGAACACACUGCUAUAAUUUUGCAGGAUAUAGAAGAAUUAAAUUGUGAGAAGGCAUCAGACAAUAUUAUUAUGAGGCUGAUGGCAUUAUCAUUCCAGUACAGAUAUUGUUGGAUAAUUUUAUAUACCAAAGAAACAUUAAAUUCAGAUUUGCUUUAAGUCAAGAAUUCUCAAGCUGGAGGUAUCCGCUUACAGAAAAGACACUUCAUCACCUAGCACUGAUUUAUGCAGCUUUGGUGUCAUUUAGGCUAAACUCUGAAGAACUGGAUGUAAAGCUUAUAAUUGCCCCAGGAGUAGAAGCAACUGCCUUGAUAAUUCGACAGAUUGCUGACCACAAUUUAAUGACCUCAAAGAGAGAUCCUCAUGAAUGGUUGGAUAAAUCCUGGCUUGAAGUUUCACCGUCUGAGGUAUAUUUUCUAAAUGUAUAAAUUAGAUAUUAGCAAAGCAAGUAUAAAACCCUGUAUUUGAAUUUACUUUCUGGUAACAAUUUUUCCCCAAAUGUCUCAAAUUGAGUGGUAGGUGCAAUGACAACAUUUUUAAUCUGCUGCAAUGAGUAGAAUAAAAUGG
This 1453-nucleotide long non-coding RNA is filed under the name Aotus nancymaae (Ma's night monkey). RNAcentral's name for it is "lncRNA (ENSANAG00000039260.1)". The record is from RNAcentral. Lineage: Eukaryota; Metazoa; Chordata; Mammalia; Primates; Aotidae.